UUUUCAUUUCUCGCUGACUCUCUUACUACCUUCUUUUUUCCUAGCCUAAUCUGUUUUCCCUUUGCAGCUUCGAAAGCAGUUUCCUCUCACUUCGCAGAAUGUUCUGGAAGCCGCCUCUCCUCUCAGGCCUUCUGCCACUCUGUCUUCUGAUUCCUACAGUGAGACGAUUGAAUUAGCUGAAAUGCACACGAGAGCAGAUAGUGUCGUAGCUUUUUCACCAAUCUCAACCUUGUAAGUUUAGGGUUUUUCACAAAUUGAGCUUUCACUCCAUUUUCGUUCCCAAAUACUAUCUCCAAAUUUUGAUUUUACCAUCGAUAUACGACACAACAUCGCAAUUUCUCGCGGGUCGUUUUGAUAACUGGCGAAACCGCACGAUACCGACAGUGUCCUGCAGUAAUACGACACAUUUGUUGUUUGAUCAUGUUAGCCAAGAGAUUAAGCUCUUUCUUCAAACUCUCCCCAAAACCUCAGAUUUCCACUUCCAUGAAGAAAGUGGAUGAAGAGACUGGCAAAUACUAUGGUAGAAAGGCCGUGUCAUUUGUCUUGAAGAGACAACCUUGGGUUUGGGCUUCAACCCACUGAUUAUAUGUAUAUCAUGAAAUGCACACGAGGUGGAUCCUUUUCCAAAGGUGAACUGCAGCGUUUUGGGAACAUCGAGUUGAACCCCUCCGUUGGAGUUUUAAACUAUGGCCAGUGAAGGACUUGGGGAGGCCUAUGAUGGAAAUAUUGUAUUUGCAAGUGACUUGGAAACUUUUGGUGGUGGGCAUAAUGACCCAAUCAGUGUGGCUUUGGGAGGUAUGCUCCCUUUUUACAUCAAUAUUAUGAUGGUUGAUGAAAGGUUUUAUGUUCCUCCUGGUAGUUGAUUAUGUUUCCAUUUUUAGCACCCAGAUGAGCUGUCAAUCAUAAAAUCAAUGACUUUUAAUGACAUUUUUAAUUUUUUAUGUGAUUGCUUGUGAUUAUUUUAAGUACUAUCUAGACUUGCCAAUAGCGACCUAUAGCUGCAUAGUAGUUUGUAACUUCCCCUGGCCGCUAUAUGCACUGCCAUGGUGUUGCACUUCACUCUAGUGGCAUUCUGCGGCACUAUAGCAUCCUUAAUAAUUAUAAUAGCUAGAUCUUUAAAGUUAAAUUUGAUUGAAGAAUAGCACUAAGAAUACUACUUAUUUGCAAAUAAGUUUUAAGUCUCUGCAAUCAUUCAUAAUAAUUCGUCGAAUCUUAAUGUAAUUUCCAUCAUGUGAUAUUAUGAAUCAAGCAAUGUAAUUAGUCACGUGCAGAUAAAUACAUUUCUAGAUAUAUAAAAUUA
Molecule: long non-coding RNA, 1300 nt
Organism: Glycine soja
Lineage: Eukaryota; Viridiplantae; Streptophyta; Magnoliopsida; Fabales; Fabaceae
Exons: 4
Source: RefSeq, a predicted model, not a curated record